Molecule: long non-coding RNA, 234 nt
Filed under: Homo sapiens (human)
Lineage: Eukaryota; Metazoa; Chordata; Mammalia; Primates; Hominidae
Description: HSALNT0011749
Source: RNAcentral
AUCUCCACUUCCAGUUUUACAUUUACCAUCAUUAAAAUCCCAUCCAGAAUAUGGGACUGCUGGAAAGUCCCUACUUCCAGGGUUGAAGUAACUUCCACAGGUAAUUGAUCUGGGUGGUGAGCCAAUUAAAAGCAGUGACUACUUUGGUAAUGGCCGGGUGACAGAAUUCAAGUAUGGUGCAAAACUCGGCACAGUUAUUCGCAAGUGGAAUGGAGAGAAGAUGUCUUACUUAAA